Non-coding RNA from Paramuricea clavata, 688 nucleotides. Lineage: Eukaryota; Metazoa; Cnidaria; Anthozoa; Malacalcyonacea; Plexauridae. The record is from the annotation of a GenBank genome assembly.
UCAUCCAAUCAGGAGACAAAGUCAGGAUCUGACCCUAAUUGCCGCUUUCAACCAGAGGUUUAUUUUUCCUCUCUCCUUCGCAAUGAAAAUAAUAAAAAUAAACCUCUGGAACCAGGGUAUAUAUUGUAGGGUAUAUUUAAUUUACAGACGCAACAAUCAUAUUCAUUAAUCGCUAACAUAGGUAUGAAAACUAAGCUGAAAACGAUUUAACACUUAUGCUGGACGAUUUAAAUACUAGUAAAUACUGGAUUAGAUACAAUGAUUUAAAUACUGGACGAUUUAUAAGUACUAGAAAACAUGAACAGCCGAUUUGUAUCGAUCUGAUAUACAAACUCGAGCCAAAGGCGAGUGUUUGUAUAUCAGCCGAUACAGAUCGGAUGCGAAUGUUUUAACGUGCUUAAAAAAUGACCCAUCUUAUGAGUUCAUUGGCGAAGUAAUUUUAAAAAUAAACAUUGUCUAAGCCGAGAAAAUCAAAGGAAUUCAAAGCUGGGGCAGGUUGUUCAAAAGCCAAUUACUGUAGCUUAACCCUAGGUUUACCUAAAAUAGUAAAAUUCAAAGCAAACUUGCCAACAGCUUCGUUAUAAACUUGGAAAUAUUUCUUCAGAAAUCUUGUCUGGACAAAUGAGAAUUUUCUUUUCUGAAGUUUUAAAACAAAUAGAUGCAUGUGCAGAAAUACAUAAACUAAAAC